AUUGAACGCUGGCGGCAGGCCUAACACAUGCAAGUCGAGCGGAUGAAGGGAGCUUGCUCCUGGAUUCAGCGGCGGACGGGUGAGUAAUGCCUAGGCAUCUGCCUGGUAGUGGGGGAUAACGUCCGGAAACGGGCGCUAAUACCGCAUACGUCCUGAGGGAGAAAGUGGGGGAUCUUCGGACCUCACGCUAUCAGAUGAGCCUAGGUCGGAUUAGCUAGUUGGUGGGGUAAAGGCCUACCAAGGCGACGAUCCGUAACUGGUCUGAGAGGAUGAUCAGUCACGCUGGAACUGAGACACGGUCCAGACUCCUACGGGAGGCAGCAGUGGGGAAUAUUGGACAAUGGGCGAAAGCCUGAUCCAGCCAUGCCGCGUGUGUGAAGAAGGUCUUCGGAUUGUAAAGCACUUUAAGUUGGGAGGAAGGGCAGUAAGUUAAUACCUUGCUGUUUUGACGUUACCAACAGAAUAAGCACCGGCUAACUUCGUG
Molecule: ribosomal RNA, 484 nt
Filed under: uncultured bacterium
Lineage: Bacteria
Description: partial 16S ribosomal RNA
Rfam family: Bacterial small subunit ribosomal RNA
Source: RNAcentral